GGGUAAAUGGCUCACCUAGGCGACGAUACAUAGCCGACCUGAGAGGGUGAUCGGCCACACUGGGACUGAGACACGGCCCAGACUCCUACGGGAGGCAGCAGUAGGGAAUCUUCGGCAAUGGGGGCAACCCUGACCGAGCAACGCCGCGUGAGUGAAGAAGGUUUUCGGAUCGUAAAGCUCUGUUGUAAGUCAAGAACGGGUGUGAGAGUGGAAAGUUCACACUGUGACGGUAGCUUACCAGAAAGGGACGGCUAACUACGUGCCAGCAGCCGCGGUAAUACGUAGGUCCCGAGCGUUGUCCGGAUUUAUUGGGCGUAAAGCGAGCGCAGGCGGUUUGAUAAGUCUGAAGUUAAAGGCUGUGGCUCAACCAUAGUUCGCUUUGGAAACUGUCAAACUUGAGUGCAGAAGGGGAGAGUGGAAUUCCAUGUGUAGCGGUGAAAUGCGUAGAUAUAUGGAGGAACACCGGUGGCGAAAGCGGCUCUCUGGUCUGUAACUGACGCUGAGGCUCGAAAGCGUGGGGAGCGAAGUCGACGCGGCCG
RNAcentral lists this ribosomal RNA (539 nucleotides) under uncultured bacterium. Its description in RNAcentral is "bacterial SSU rRNA". It matches the Rfam family "Bacterial small subunit ribosomal RNA", at positions 254 to 787 of the family's 1533-position model. The record is from RNAcentral.